RNAcentral lists this ribosomal RNA (2968 nucleotides) under Coriobacteriia bacterium. RNAcentral describes it as "23S ribosomal RNA". It matches the Rfam family "Bacterial large subunit ribosomal RNA". The record is from RNAcentral. RNAcentral also lists the same sequence under 1 other name. Lineage: Bacteria; Bacillati; Actinomycetota; Coriobacteriia.
AACAAAGAUAUUAAGAGCAUAUGGUGGAUGCCUUGGCACAAGUAUCGAUGAAGGACGUGACUAGCUGCGAUAAGCUACGGUGAGCUGCCCAUAAGUUUUGACCCGUAGAUUUCCGAAUGGGGGAACCCAAGUAAGGUCAUUCUUACUUAUCCUCGCCUGAAUCUAUAGGGCGAGAGAGGAUAACCCGGAGAACUGAAACAUCUAAGUACCCGGAGGAAAAGAAAUCAACCGAGAUUGCGCUAGUAGCGGCGAGCGAACGCGCACGUAGCCUAAACCAAUUUAUGUGUAAACCUUGGGGUGUUGCUAGAUUGGUGUUGUGGGGCAAUAUGUUUGCAAGCCCAAGCUUGUGAGCACAGUUACAAAAGCAAGUAGUAGUAGAGUGGCAUGGAAAGGUCAGCCAGAGAAGGUUAAAGCCCUGUAUACAAAACUGCUCGCACUGUGUAUUGUUGUUCCCGAGUAGAUCCGGACACGUGAAAUCCGGCUCGAAUCUGGGGGGACCACCCUCCAAGGCUAAAUAGUCACUUGUGACCGAUAGUGAACAAGUACCGUGAGGGAAAGGUGAAAAGUACCCCGCAAGGGGAGUGAAAUAGUACCUGAAACCAUAUGCUUACAAGCGGUCGGAGCAGAUUUAUUCUGUGACGGCGUGCCUUUUGUAGAAUGAGCCAGCGAGUUACGGUAUGCGGCAAGGUUAAGUCAUAAAACGAGCCGUAGUGAAAGCGAGCCUGAAUAGGGCGAAUAGUCGUAUGCCGUAGACGCGAAGCCGGGUGAUCUAUCCAUGGGCAGGAUGAAGCGGGGGUAAGACCCCGUGGAGGUCCGAACCCACUUCGGUUGAAAACGGAGGGGAUGACCUGUGGAUAGGGGUGAAAGGCCAAUCAAACCCGGAGAUAUCUCGUUCUCCCCGAAAUAGCUUUAGGGCUAGCCUCGAGCGUUAAUUUUUAUGGGUGGUAGAGCACUGCAUGGUCAAGGGGGCUUCACCGCCUACCAAAACUAAGCAAACUCCGAAUGCCUAUAAAAUUGCUCGGGAGUCAGAAUGUGUGGGCUAAGCCGCAUGUUCGAAAGGGAAACAGCCCAGAUCGCCUGCUAAGGUCCCUAAGUUUAUGUUAAGUGGUAAAGGAUGUGCGUUUGCCCAGACAGCCAGGAUGUUGGCUUAGAAGCAGCCAUGCAUUUAAAGAGUGCGUAACAGCUCACUGGUCGAGUGGACAUGCGCCGACAAUUAUCGGGGCUCAAACAUAACACCGAAGCAGCGGACUCGCAAGAGUGGUAGGGGAGCUUUGUAUACAGGCUGAAGCAGAAGGGGCAACCUUCUGUGGACAGUAUACAAGUGAGAAUGCUGGCAUGAGUAACGAGAGAAGGGUGAAAAACCUUUCCGUCGAAAGCCUAAGGUUUCCUGGGCAAGGCUAAUCCUCCCAGGGUCAGUCGGGAGCUAAGGUCAGGGCGAAAGCCGUAGCCGAUGCACAACAGGUCGAUAUUCCUGUACCACUCAUUGUUCGUUAUUACGAUGGGGUGACGGAGAAGGAUAGCUGGGCGGGGUUCUGGACGUCCCCGUGAAAGCGCGUAGGGUUUGGCGUAUGUAAAUCAGCGUCAUGCAAAUCCUGAGACGUUAGACGAAGCCUCUUUUGGCGAAGUCAGUGACUCCAUGCUUACAAGAAAAACCUCUAAGGAGAACAGUGGGUGCCCGUACCAAAACCGACACAGGUAGGCAGGUAGAGGAUACCGAGACGAUCGGGAGAACCAUGGUUAAGGAACUCGGCAUAAUGGCUCCGUAACUUCGGGAGAAGGAGCGCCUCUGUCGGUGAUCGUUUUAUACGGAUGUGAGCUAACGGAGGCCGCAGUGAAAAGGCCCAAGCGACUGUUUAUCAAAAACACAGGACUCUGCUCAACUCGUAAGAGGAUGUAUAGGGUCUGACGCCUGCCCGGUGCUGGAAGGUUACGUGGAAGGGUUAGCUUUUAGCGAAGCUCUGAAACUAAGCCCCAGUAAACGGCGGCCGUAACUAUAACGGUCCUAAGGUAGCGAAAUUCCUUGUCGGGUAAGUUCCGACCUGCACGAAUGGCGUAACGAUUUGGGCGCUGUCUCGACCAUGGACCCGGUGAAAUUGCACUAUUCGUGAAGAUGCGAAUUACCCGCGGAAGGACGGAAAGACCCCGUGAACCUUUACUGCAGCUUGACAUUGAUUGUUGAUUUAAUAUGUAGAGGAUAGGCAGGAGGCUUUGAAGCCGGUGCGCCAGUGCUGGUGGAGCCACCCUUGGAAUACUGCCCUUGUUACUUUAGCAAUCUAACGUGUGGCCGUAAUCCGGCAUGCGGACCGUGUCAGGUGGGUAGUUUGACUGGGGCGGUCGCCUCCUAAAAUGUAACGGAGGCGCGCGAUAGGUCCGCUCAGAACGGUUGGCAAUCGUUCGUAGAGUGCAAGAGUAUAAGCGGGCUUGACUGCGAGACUGACAAGUCGAGCAGAUACGAAAGUAGGUUCUAGUGAUCCGGCGGCUCAGAGUGGAAUGGCCGUCGCUCAACGGAUAAAAGGUACUCCGGGGAUAACAGGCUGAUCUUGCCCAAGAGUCCACAUCGACGGCAAGGUUUGGCACCUCGAUGUCGGCUCAUCGCAUCCUGGAGCUGGAGUCGGUUCCAAGGGUAUGGCUGUUCGCCAUUUAAAGCGGUACGCGAGCUGGGUUCAGAACGUCGUGAGACAGUUCGGUCCCUAUCCUCCGCGGGCGUAAGGAAAUUGAAGGUAUUUGCCCCUAGUACGAGAGGACCGGGGUGAACGAACCUCUUGUGAAGCGGUUGUUAGCCAAUAGCAUCGCCGCAUAGCUACGUUCGGAAUGGAUAACCGCUGAAAGCAUCUAAGCGGGAAGCCAAACCUAAGAUGAGUUUCCUUUUUGGUAAGAUUCCUUGUAGACUACGAGGUUGAUAGGCUGCAGCUGUAAGGCGUGUAAGCGUUUCAGGCGAGCAGUACUAAUAGAUCGAGCUCUUUGUUUU